UCCGUAGGUGAACCUGCGGAAGGAUCAUUAUCGAGUUUUGACCGGGUUGUAGCUGGCCUUCUGAGGCAUGUGCACGCCCUGCUCAUCCACUCUACACCUGUGCACUUACUGUGGGCUUCAGAUUGCGAGGCACGCUCUUUACCGGGCUUGCGGAGCAUAUCUGUGCCUGCGUUUAUCACAAACUCUAUAAAGUAACAGAAUGUGUAUUGCGAUGUAACACAUCUAUAUACAACUUUCAGCAACGGAUCUCUUGGCUCUCGCAUCGAUGAAGAACGCAGCGAAAUGCGAUAAGUAAUGUGAAUUGCAGAAUUCAGUGAAUCAUCGAAUCUUUGAACGCACCUUGCGCUCCUUGGUAUUCCGAGGAGCAUGCCUGUCUGAGUGUCAUGAAAUCUUCAACCUACAAGCUUUUGUGGUUUGUAGGCUUGGACUUGGAGGCUUGUCGGCCGUUAUCGGUCGGCUCCUCUUAAAUGCAUUAGCUUGGUUCCUUGCGGAUCGGCUCUCGGUGUGAUAAUGUCUACGCCGUGACCGUGAAGCGUUUGGCGAGCUUCUAACCGUCUUAUAAGACAGCUUUAUGACCUCUGACCUCAAAUCAGGUAGGACUACCCGCUGAACUUAAGCAUAUCAAUAAGCGGAGGA
RNAcentral lists this ribosomal RNA (636 nucleotides) under Ganoderma lucidum. Its description in RNAcentral is "eukaryotic LSU rRNA". The stretch from base 231 to 384 matches the Rfam family "5.8S ribosomal RNA". The record is from RNAcentral. Lineage: Eukaryota; Fungi; Basidiomycota; Agaricomycetes; Polyporales; Polyporaceae.